This 1575-nucleotide ribosomal RNA is filed under the name Macaca nemestrina (pig-tailed macaque). RNAcentral describes it as "16S ribosomal RNA". It matches the Rfam family "Bacterial large subunit ribosomal RNA". The record is from RNAcentral. Lineage: Eukaryota; Metazoa; Chordata; Mammalia; Primates; Cercopithecidae.
GCCAAUACUAGCCCNCAAGNNCAUAAUCAACACUAAUAACAAACCAACACACNNACACCAAACCAUUUACCUAUACNAAAGUAUAGGCGAUAGAAAUUUUAAUCUGGCGCUAUAGAUAUAGUACCGCAAGGGAAAGAUNNAGAUAAACCACCUAAGCACAAAACAGCAAGGACUAGCCCCUGUACCUUUCGCAUAAUGGAUUAGCUAGAAACAAUUUUACGAAGAGAACUAUAAGCCAAAUUCCCCGAAACCAGACGAGCUACCCAAAAACAGCUAAAAGAGCGCACCCAUCUAUGUAGCAAAAUAGUGGGAAGAUUUCUGGGUAGAGGUGACAAGCCUACCGAGCCUGGUGAUAGCUGGUUAUCCAAGACAGAAUCUUAGUUCGACCUUAAGCUUACCCACAGAACUUCCUAAUCCCCCUGUAAGCUUAAUUGUUAGUCUAAAGAGGGACAGCUCUUUAGACACUAGGAAAAAACCUUACGGAGAGAGUAAAANCCNCCUCAACUACCAUAGUUGGCUUAAAAGCAGCCAUCAAUUAAGAAAGCGUUCAAGCUCAACAUUAACGACCUCNAAAAAUACCAAACACAUAACUGAACUCCUCACAUCACAUUGGAUUAAUCUAUCACCAUAUAGAAGCAAUAAUGCUAAUAUAAGUAACAUGAAUACUUUCUCCACUGCAUAAGCCUAAAUCGGACCGAAAGCCUCACCGACACUUAACAGCCAGGCANCAGCAAACACAAACAAGCCCAUGCUACCUUCACUGUUAACCCAACACUGGCAUGCNCUCAAGGAAAGGUUAAAAAAAGUAAAAGGAACUCGGCAAACUCAAACCCCGCCUGUUUACCAAAAACAUCACCUCUAGCAUUACUAGUAUUAGAGGCACUGCCUGCCCGGUGACACACGUUUAACGGCCGCGGUACCCUGACCGUGCAAAGGUAGCAUAAUCACUUGUUCUUUAAAUAGGGACUCGCAUGAAAGGCACCACGAGGGUUUAACUGUCUCUUACUUUCAACCAGUGAAAUUGACCUGCCCGUGAAGAGACGGGCAUAAAAUAAUAAGACGAGAAGACCCUAUGGAGCUUUAAUUUAUNUAAUACAAUCAAAAACCUCACAAACCCACGGACCUCUAAACNUACUACACCUGUAUUAAAAAUUUUGGUUGGGGCGACCUCGGAGCAUAACAAAACCUCCGAACAAUACAUGCCAAGACCACACAAGUCAAAGCGAACUAACNNCCAUAAUUGAUCCAAUAAUUUGAUCAACGGAACAAGUUACCCUAGGGAUAACAGCGCAAUUCUAUUCUAGAGUCCAUAUCGACAAUAGAGCUUACGACCUCGAUGUUGGAUCAGGACAUCCUAAUGGUGCAGCAGCUAUCAAGGGUUCGUUUGUUCAACGAUUAAAGUCCUACGUGAUCUGAGUUCAGACCGGAGCAAUCCAGGUCGGUUUCUAUCUAUUGUGUAUUUCUCCCUGUACGAAAGGACAAGAGAAAUAAGGCCCACUUCACCANAAGCGCCUUCAUUACAUAAAUGACCUAAUCUCAAUUUAACAAAAUACCACAUACUCUACCCAAAAACAG